UUUGAUCCUGGCUCAGAGCGAACGCUGGCGGCAGGCCUAACACAUGCAAGUCGAACGGAUCCUUCGGGAUUAGUGGCGGACGGGUGAGUAACACGUGGGAACGUGCCCUUUGGUUCGGAACAACUCAGGGAAACUUGAGCUAAUACCGGAUGUGCCCUUCGGGGGAAAGAUUUAUCGCCAUUGGAGCGGCCCGCGUCUGAUUAGCUAGUUGGUGAGGUAAAGGCUCACCAAGGCGACGAUCAGUAGCUGGUCUGAGAGGAUGAUCAGCCACAUUGGGACUGAGACACGGCCCAUACUCCUACGGGAGGCAGCAGUGGGGAAUCUUGCGCAAUGGGCGAAAGCCUGACGCAGCCAUGCCGCGUGAAUGAUGAAGGUCUUAGGAUUGUAAAAUUCUUUCACCGGGGACGAUAAUGACGGUACCCGGAGAAGAAGCCCCGGCUAACUUCGUGCCAGCAGCCGCGGUAAUACGAAGGGGGCUAGCGUUGCUCGGAAUUACUGGGCGUAAAGGGAGCGUAGGCGGACUGUUAAGUUAGAGGUGAAAGCCCAGGGCUCAACCUUGGAAUUGCCUUUGAUACUGGCAGUCUUGAGUACGGAAGAGGUAUGUGGAACUCCGAGUGUAGAGGUGAAAUUCGUAGAUAUUCGGAAGAACACCAGUGGCGAAGGCGACAUACUGGUCCGUUACUGACGCUGAGGCUCGAAAGCGUGGGGAGCAAACAGGAUUAGAUACCCUGGUAGUCCACGCCGUAAACGAUGAGUGCUAGUUGUCGGCAUGCAUGCAUGUCGGUGACGCAGCUAACGCA
Molecule: ribosomal RNA, 800 nt
Filed under: Quercus robur (English oak)
Lineage: Eukaryota; Viridiplantae; Streptophyta; Magnoliopsida; Fagales; Fagaceae
Description: bacterial SSU rRNA
Rfam family: Bacterial small subunit ribosomal RNA
Source: RNAcentral